UGGGGAAUAUUGCACAAUGGGGGAAACCCUGAUGCAGCGACGCCGCGUGAGUGAAGAAGUAUUUCGGUAUGUAAAGCUCUAUCAGCAGGGGAAGAAAAAAGACGGUACCUGACUAAGAAGCCCCGGCUAACUACGUGCC
Molecule: ribosomal RNA, 139 nt
Filed under: uncultured bacterium
Lineage: Bacteria
Description: partial 16S ribosomal RNA
Rfam family: Bacterial small subunit ribosomal RNA
Source: RNAcentral